Molecule: long non-coding RNA, 5070 nt
Filed under: Citrus x clementina
Lineage: Eukaryota; Viridiplantae; Streptophyta; Magnoliopsida; Sapindales; Rutaceae
Description: Citrus clementina (C. clementina) long non-coding RNA (CCLE_LNC005165)
Source: RNAcentral
UGAGGGCAAUAGUUCGAGUCCUCAUAGACUCAAACUCCCUUAAUUAAACAUAAUUAUAUGGAGAUUAUUUGUAAAAUUUUUCUCCCUUACGAAAUACAAGUGGAGUGGAGACACUCCUCCUCCGUGAGGGUUAUUUGUCUGGGCACUUACUUCAUAGAAUUUAAAAUGUAAUAAUAUAAGUCUCAGUUUGUAUAUCUAAUUGUAAAUAUCAGUGUAAUAAUCUGCUGUUAUAACAGUUGUAAAUAUCUGUGUAAUACAGUAACAUGAUGCUUAAUCAGUUAAAAAAAACUAAAUUGAAAAAAUUAUAUUCAAAUUCAAUUUCUUUUACCACUAGAAUAAAAGUAUAUAAAUUAAAUUUAGCGAGAAUUACAGUGAAAACAUAUUUCAUGUGGCAAAGAUUAUAACAAGCUUAAGACGUAUAAAUAAAAAUGAAUUUAAAAGACUAUAUUUCUCCCCAAUGGCAUAAAAUGUUUUAAAAGUAAAUUUAGUAAAACAUACUGCUUACUGUGAAAAUGAAUUUAUAUUUUUCAUAUUUUUAAAUAAUUUAAUUUUUUUUGGUUGUGAUAUAAAUUAACUUAAUUUCAAAAAAAUAUAGAUAUAAAUUUAAGAUUGAACAUAUUUUAUAAUACUUGCACAUCAUUUAGUAGACAAAUCAUGUACCCAUAUAGUGAGUGCAAUGUUACUCAAAUAAUUUAAUUUAAUUUAGAAAUAUAACUGUCAUGCUUAAAUUAUAUAACUAUAAGUAUAACAUAAUACAACAUUAUUCAAUAUUAGUUGCAUUCAAAUUGUAAUUAUCCAUGUUAUGUACCAUUAUGAAUUUGAUUAAUGUUUAACAAAAAAAUUAUUAUAGCAAAAAGGAUUAAAUAAAAUAAUUAAUCUCACUUAAGAUAGUAUGAAUUAAUUUGCACAAGAGAUUGAUUAUGAGUUUUAUUUAAAAAUAUCAAAUAUUAGAUGCUUUAUAUUUUUGUAAUAUAUGAAUAUUUGUUUUAGAGGGUAUACAUAAAACAUACUAAUAUUGGCCACUAAUAAUAACAACAACAACAUUUGAGGGGUAAUUACGAUGUUUGGAAUGAUAAUUAUUUGAUAGUUGGAUAAAUAUUGUCCUCAUUUUAGUAGGUAGGGAUUUAAGUCCUUGAAUGUGAAUCGUGAGAUCCUGGAAUUGAUUUCUUCUAAAUAUCUGGAAAUAAAUCGAUUUCGUUAUAUGUUUAGAUACUCGGAUUCUAAUGUAAUUAAAAGUUGAUAAAAUUAUUUUGAUAGUUUUGUAAGCAAAAUAUCAUUAUAUUUAUUACAUAAUAUUAAAAAUAGUGCAAUUAAUAAAUUAAAUUUUUUAAUUAAUAUAUAAUUAUUUCCAUUUAUUAUAUUUAAAUAGUAUUCUCAUUAGUACAUAAGUUACAUUUUUUAAGGCAAAAUAUCAUUAAAUUUAUAAUGUAAUAUUAAGAAAAAUAAUAUAAUUAUUUUUAUUUAAAUAUAUUAGUCCAAUUAGUUUUAUUUAAUUAUGUUUCUUUUAGGAUAUAAGUUAAAUAUAUUAACUAUAUUUUCCAUGAAUCAAAAGAAAAAGGAAGUAUUUUUUUGGUGUAAAGUUGAGGGGGUCUUUGAUAAUUUACUAGUUUUGAAUUGAUUAUCUUAAUAUUUCCUAAAAUGAGGGAGCUGUAUGAUAGUUUCUUUUAACAUUUGCUGCUUUAAGCGAUUAAAAGGAGCGUAUCGGUGGCCGGUUACAUCCGCAUUAUUAAAAAAAUAAUAAAGGCAGCUGCAUGACAUGCAGCACUGCAUUACAGCCCGACCCCCAAUCAAGAACCCCGAUCCAAAAAAAAUCAAGAACCCUAUCAAAACAAGAUUGUCAUAAUUUUUUGAGUAAAAGAAAAAAAUUAAAAAUUAAAAAAGCAUACUUAUAAUAAAAUUGUGACAUUGGGACGUGGAAAGGACAAUUUCUUAUUAAACUUAUCUUGCCGUGGAGUAGUUACAUUAAAAAAGAUUAAUUAAUUAUUGUAUUCAUCUAGAGAGACUGCGCGGAGAAUGUUUAUAAAGGAAAGUUGGCCAUAUCGGUCACGUAAUUGCUUCUAGAUAGAAUUUAAAACCAUACUACACGUCAAUAUAUAUGAACAUUACUCUAUGUUUGUUUUAGUAAAUUAAUUUUUUUUUCUCAUGUUACAAAAUCUUUUUAUUAUAAAAAAAUAUCUUGUUAAGUUAAAUCAUAUGUAAAUUGUAAUAAAUUAAAAAAUAGUUAUCUAUAACCUCCCCUUGCUUCACAUAUUAUUAUUUUUUAAUAUUGAAUUAUAUUUUUGAGUUGCUGUAAGUUAUUAACAGCUGUCAAAAAAAUAGUUUACUUCUAAUUUUUUUUUGUUUCUUUUAUUAUUUUAUCCCCAGCAAAAUCUACCUUUAAUUAAUAAAAAAAAUUAUGAGUAAUAAAAUUAACAAAUUUCUUUGAGCACAUAAAUUAAUGAGUUUUGAUACAGGAAGAGAGAAAUAAUUAAUUAUGAUAUAUGAUAUUAAAAAAAAAAAAGUCCUUGCUAGAUGAUGAGAUCUCUCAUCCGAAUCUUCGAUACAUUUGGUUUAUUGAAGAAUUUUACAUAUAUGGACCUAGAUGAUGAUAUCUAUCUAUCCACGUUGAUUUGAUGGGCGUAACGAGUAACCUGAUGGGCGUGACCAGUCAAAAUAAAAUCAUUUAAUUUAUUGAUUCCUUGACCGAGAGAAUUUUAAACGAACAAAAGUUUCACAGUUUAUAUAUGUCUUCAAAGAGAAAAAGCAGCCGUGUAGAUACCCAUUGAUUAAGAUGAUGAUCUUUGUUAUCUUAUUAAAUGUUUGGAUGUGUUGGAAAUUUUCAGGAUACCGAAUAGACAUUAUAUAUAUUUAGAAAUAUGUUUCACAAAUGUCUUAUAACAUUUUUUAUUAAAAAAUUAAGAUAAAAAAAUAAAUUUUGGAUUGCAUAAAUUAUAGGAAUGGCUAUUAUUAAUGCAAUUAUUUAAAUUUAAUUAUAUAUCAAAAAUAAAAAGAAUAAGGCAAAUCAAAUGAUGACACAUGUCACUGUUUUCAGUAGAGUCACCACGUGGGACCGCAAUCUCCUAACUGCCACUAUUCAAUGACGAUAAGUUUGGGUCACUGCAUUUGCCACCGUGCGUGGCCCUCUCAUGUUACUCCACUUGUAAAAUCGAUCUUAUCAAUUUAUAGAUCUGCAAAAAACUCACUUACAUUCAUACACACACAUAUACAUACAUGUAUAAUUUCCCAAAAAAUAAUUAAGACUUUAGGUUAUCACUCUACGUGUUACUUUAGAAAAGCAACCGUAUAUGCGGCAGCUCAGAGACGUGUGUCCAACAUAAAACUUUGGUUUACAUGUACAUUGAAGAUAUAUAUAUAUAUAUAUAUAUAUAUAUAUAUAUAUAUAUAUAUAUAUUACAGAGUUUAAUUCUAUCCCACAUAAGAAUAAAUAAAAAUUAAAGUAUUUUAAUAAAUACCAUUGAAAUUUGGAUUAAUAACAGAGUAACCGUAACAAUUAACUUUAAUAGGGUGAGAUGGGGUUUGGUAAGUGCAUAUUUUUUUUUUCUUUUCCAAAAGAUUGUUUUCACAUUUCAUAAUCCUACCAUUACAAUGUUCUCUACACAUGUAAUACCACUCCAUCAAAUUAGAUGAUUUUGGGGAAAAUUUUGAUCUAUCCACUCAUGAAGUGACAAUCUUCAAAUUGCCCUUCUUAUUAUUAAAAACAUCAAGUUAUCUCCAAAAACUCAUUAUUUUUAACUAUUGACCGUUGUUGACUCAUAAAAAUACCAAAGUACUCAUAAUUUAACAUAAUAUUUUUGUAAUGACAUUGUAAGGCAAAAAAAAAAGUUAUAUAUGACUAGUUAUUGAAAAAUAAAAAAAAUAAUUGAUGUAUAACUAGUCAUUAAAAAAUAAACUAUUGAAAUGACUUAAUGAACAUAAAUAAAUUAAUAAUUUUUUAAAAUUAAAUAUGUUAAUUAAAUAAAUUACAAGACAUAUCAUCAUAUGUAAAUCGCAAUAAUGUCAUCAUGAUCAAAUUUCAAAAUUAAAAAGCCAUACAAUCUUCGUCUUUUUCUUUCAUUUUUUUUCUCAUCCUUACUGUUUCAUCUUUUCUUUUCAUUCAUUUUUUUUCUUAUCCUUACUCCUUCAUUUUUUUCCCUUUUCUUUCAUUUACAUGACUCUAGGGAUGACAAAAUCCAAGUUUGAAUCCAGCCUUUCCAGUUUCGUAUAUGAUUUUCUUAUACCGGAUCCAGAUUUAAACCUAAUUUUUUUUCAUCUGGGUCCGAUUCGAGUUUAAUCAAGAAAAAAUUUGGGUUUUUGGAUUCCAUAUUUUGAACUUGGAUUAAUGAAUCAAGUAAAAAAAAUAAAAAUAAAAAUAAAUCCAUAUUCUAAUAAAAUAAAAUAAACAGAUAUGGAUUAAAUUUCAAUGUUUCUAAGCAAUAAAACAUCCACAAAUACAAUAAUCAUCAAUAAGAAUAAUAUUCAUUUGCAAGAAAAAAUAUCAAAAGCAGAGGAAACAAAUCAUAACGAGAGAGAAAUUGUGGGAACUAUCAUGCAUUUGUAGAUCUCACUUUGCUGCCAUAUCAGAGGAAAAAAGAGGCAGAAAAGGCUGAAAAAGGCAAAGCAAAACCCAUGCCUUGAUGAUGAUGAUGAAGAGGAUGUUUUCAGCUGAUGCUGUCGUUUUCAAUCGGAUAUCGUUGGUGUUGUUUUCAAUCGGAUAUCUCGCUGUUUUAGUGCUGUUUUCAACUGAUGCCACCGAUGAUGACGAAUGUCGUAUUUUCAAUCGUAUCAUAGCUGGACAAAUGGCGGCUGAUGAUGAUGAAUAGAAUCGUGAAGGUAGCGAUUGGCAAAGCACAAUGAUUUGAUUUGAUGAGGAGAAGAGUUGAAGAGAAAGGAAAUGUGCGAAGGCAGGCUGUGAUCUGUGAAACUAGGCCAUUUUUUUAAUCUUUGUAUUUAGGGGUGGGCAUGGGUUGGUUUGGAUUGGAUUUUAAAUCAACCAAAAUCAAACCAUAAAAAUUUGGAUCCAACUCAAACCAACUCAAAUAUUUUUAACCCAAACCAAACCAAACCAUUUGGGUUUGGUUUGAAUUUUAUUAU